Molecule: ribosomal RNA, 450 nt
Filed under: uncultured bacterium
Lineage: Bacteria
Description: partial 16S ribosomal RNA
Rfam family: Bacterial small subunit ribosomal RNA
Source: RNAcentral
GUUAGGAAUAUUGGACAAUGGGCGAAAGCCUGAUCCAGCCAUGCCGCGUGUGUGAAGAAGGUCUUCGGAUUGUAAAGCACUUUAAGUUGGGAGGAAGGGCAGUAAGUUAAUACCUUGCUGUUUUGACGUUACCGACAGAAUAAGCACCGGCUAACUUCGUGCCAGCAGCCGCGGUAAUACGAAGGGUGCAAGCGUUAAUCGGAAUUACUGGGCGUAAAGCGCGCGUAGGUGGUUUUGUAAGUUGGAGGUGAAAUCCCCGGGCUCAACCUGGGAACUGCCUCCAAAACUGCAUGACUAGAGUACGGUAGAGGGUAGUGGAAUUUCCUGUGUAGCGGUGAAAUGCGUAGAUAUAGGAAGGAACACCAGUGGCGAAGGCGACUACCUGGACUGAUACUGACACUGAGGUGCGAAAGCGUGGGGAGCAAACAGGAUUAGAUACCCUAGUAGUCC